GAAUGAGAGAAAUUAUGGCAAAGAAGUUUUUAUUCUUCCUGUCCCCCUGGACCUGUCAUAGUAACCCAUGCCAGAGCAAACUGUGUCCCCAAACCAUUGCCUGGCCUCUGUGCCCGUAGCCUGCUGGCACUGAAGUGGGUUGCACAGUG
RNAcentral lists this small nucleolar RNA (149 nucleotides) under Aotus nancymaae (Ma's night monkey). Its description in RNAcentral is "Small nucleolar RNA SNORA42/SNORA80 family (ENSANAG00000009480.1)". The stretch from base 18 to 149 matches the Rfam family "Small nucleolar RNA SNORA42/SNORA80 family". From Rfam's summary of the family: The members of this family belong to the H/ACA class of snoRNAs that guide the sites of modification of uridines to pseudouridines. Human ACA42 (SNORA42) was cloned from HeLa cells by immunoprecipitation with anti-GAR1 antibody. Its is predicted to guide the pseudouridylation of residues U109 and U572 of 18S rRNA. The record is from RNAcentral. Lineage: Eukaryota; Metazoa; Chordata; Mammalia; Primates; Aotidae.